ACUCAAAUGAAUUGACGGGGACCCGCACAAGCGGUGGAGCAUGUUGUUUAAUUCGAAGCAACGCGAAGAACCUUACCUACCCUUGACAUACCAAGUAUGAUUUCCAGAGAUGGAUUUCUUCAGUUCGGCUGGCUUGGAUACAGGUGCUGCAUGGCUGUCGUCAGCUCGUGUCGUGAGAUGUUGGGUUAAGUCCCGCAACGAGCGCAACCCUUGUCGUCUGUUGCCAUCAGGUAAUGCUGGGCACUCUGACGAGACCGCCGGUGACAAGCCGGAGGAAGGUGGGGACGACGUCAAGUCAUCAUGGCCCUUACGGGUAGGGCUACAAACGUGCUACAAUGGCGGUGACAGUGGGCACCGAGGCCGCGAGGCCAAGGAAAUCCCAAAAAGCCGUCUCAGUUCGGAUUGUUCUCUGCAACUCGAGAGCAUGAAGCUGGAAUCGCUAGUAAUCGUGGAUCAGCAUGCCACGGUGAAUACGUUCCCGGGUCUUGCACACACCGCCCGU
Molecule: ribosomal RNA, 502 nt
Filed under: uncultured bacterium
Lineage: Bacteria
Description: partial 16S ribosomal RNA
Rfam family: Bacterial small subunit ribosomal RNA
Source: RNAcentral